GCCUCAGAUCGGAUGUGGCGACCUGCUGAUUUUAAGCAUAUUAAUAAGCAGAGGAAAGAAACUAAUCAGGAUUCCUCAGUAAUGGCCAGUGAAGAGCCCAGCGCCAAAUCCCCUUUAAGCGGCAGGCAUGGGAAAUGUGGCGUACAGAAGACCGACUCCCUGGAAUCGCUCAGGGGGCUCAAGUCCUUUCUGAUACAGUGUCACCCGCAGACAGUGGUAGGCCGGUAGCGGCCUCUGGCAUACCGGUCGGGUCUUCUCGGAGUCGGGUUGCUUGAGAAUUCCCAAAGUAUGUGGUAAACUCCAUCUACGACUUAAAUACGUACCGUAAGGUAAAGUUGAAAAGAACUUUGAAUAGCGAGUUCAAGAGAGCGUGAAACCGUUGAGGUAAACUGUGUGGGUCCAUGCAGUCCGCCCGCAGGAUUCAACAUGGCAGGCAGGUCGGCUGCCUGGAACAGUGGAUGCCCUCACAGGACUGCAGCCCAGGCAGACCAGGCCCCGCAGGGCGCAUUUCCUCUGUGGCAGUGCACCAUAACCGGCUGGGAAGGCCCCAGGGGGCAGGCGGCUCUCUGCUCUGGCAGCGAGUGUUACAGCCCCCUGACAGCGGUUUUGCUGUGUCCACGGGACCGAGGGAGAUUGACCGCUGUCAUGCCCUUCUCCGGCAACCGUCCUGGCCCCUCUUGGGGGUCACUGGGGCGCCGAUGGCAGACAGUGCUCCCAAUGCGACUCUAGUGAACUGCCCUCAGUGUGCCCCGACCACGUCUUGCCGCUGGACGGGGAGGCCCACAAAGGGCGUCUGGGGCCUGAGGUGAUUUCGGUUAACCACCCGAUCUGUCUUGAAACACAGGCCAAGGAGUCUUAGUCGGAUGGCCGAAUGAAACUGCAAAGAAGGGGAGCGCCGGUGUGUGCCAAUUGCGGUGGGAUCCCGCCGCGGUGGGCGCACCACCAACCCCUCUCACCCGCUCUGUCAGGGUGAUGGAGCAUGAGCGUGUGUGAUAGGACCUGAAAGAUGGUGAACUACACCUGGUGGAGGUCCGUAGCGGUCCUGAUGUGUAAAUCGGUCGUCCGACCUGGGUAUAGGGUCGGAAGACUAAUCGAACCAUCUAGUAGCUGGUUCCUUCCCGAGUUUCCCUCAGGAUAGCUGCCACACGGAAACCCCAGUUUUAUCUAGUAAAGUGAAUUAUUAGAGGUCUUGACGCCAAAAUGAUCUCAACCUAUUCUCAAACUUUAAAUGGGUAAGAAGGCCGGCUCGCUGGCGUGGAGCCAGGCAUUGAAUGCAAGUGCCCAGUGGGCAACUUUUGUUAAGCAGAACUGGUGCUGCGGGAUGAACUGAAUGCCGGGUUAAGUUGCCCGAUGCUGAUGCUCAUCAGACCCCAGAAAAGGUGUUGGAUGAUAUAGGCAGCAGGACAGUGGCCAUGGAAGUCAGAAUUCACGAAGGAGCCCCAGGGAGGGUUCUCUUUCCUUUGCGAAGGGCAGGGUACCCUGGAAUGAGUUUGUCCUGAAAGAGGGGCCCGAGCCUUGGAAAAUGUCGUGGUUCCAGCGUCGUGCAGUGAGCUCUCGCUGGUCCUUGUAAAUCCGGGGGAGAUGGUGUAAAUCUCGCUCCGGGCCGUACCCAUAUCCUCAGCAGGUCUCAAAUGUGAACAGCCUCUGGCAUGUUGGAACAAUGUAGGCAAGGGAAGUCGGCAAGUCAGAUCUGUAACUUCAGGAUAAGAAUUGGCUCUAAGGGCUGGGUCGGUCGGGCUGGGGCACAGGGCUGGGCAUGUGCCGCGGUUGGACGAGGUGUCUCACCCCCUUAACCCCCAGGUGGCGGCGUUGACUCUGGAUGCGAACCGGGCCCUGUCUGUAGCUCGACCCAGCUGCAGUGGUCGCCUUUCUCCGUUCCCCUCCCAGGGUUCGGGGCCGAUGUUCUGCCACGGCAGAUGCCUAGCAUCUGACUGGUGUGGACCAGGGGAAUCCCACUGUUUAAUUAAAACAAAGCAUCGCGAAGGCCUGCGGUGGGUGUUGACGCAAUGUGCUUUCUGCCCAGUGCUCUGAAUGUCAAAGUGAAGGAAAUCAAUGAAGCACGGGUAAACGGCGGGCGUAACUAUGACUCUCUUAAGGUAGCCAAAUGCCUCAUCAUCUAAUGAGUGACGCUCAUGAAUGAAUGAACGAGAUUACCACUGUCCCUACCUACUAUCUAGCGAAACCACAGCCUAGGGAACAGACUUGGCAGAAUCAGCGGGGGGAAAGAAGACCCAGUUGUGCUUGCCUCUAGUCUGGCACUGUGAAGAGACAUGAGGUGUAGGAUAAAUGGGAGGCCCUCGGGCUGCCGGUGAAAUACCACUUCUCUUAUCAUUUUUUCACUUACCCGGUGAGGUGGGGUGCGACCCCCAUGGGGCUCUCACUUCUGGCUCCAAACGCCCGGCAUCCGCCAUGCGCAAUCCGCUCCGGGGACAGUGGCAGGUGGGGAGUUCGACUGGGGCGGUACAUCUGUCAAACGAUAAUGAAGGUGUCCAAAAGUGAGCUCAGGGAGGACAGAAACCUCCAGCGGAGCAGAAGGACAAAAGUUAGCUUGAUCUCGAUUUUUCAAUAUGAAUAAGACCGUGAAAGUGGGGCCUCAUGAUCCUUCUGACUUUUUGGGUAUCAAGCAGGAGGUGUCAGAAACCUUAGCACAGGGAUAACUGGCUUGUGGCAUCCAAGCGUUCAUAGCGACGUUGCUUUUUGAUCUUUUCAUGUCGUCUCUUCCUAUCAUUUUGAAGCAGAAUUCAACAAGCGUUGAUUGGUCACCCAUUAAUAGGGAAUGUGAGGUGGGUUUAGACCGUCAUGAGACAGGUUCGUUUUACCCUACUGAUGAUGUGUUGUUGCAAUAGUAAUCCUGCUCAGUACAAGAGGAACCCCAGGUUCACACAUUUGGUGUAUGUGCUUGGCUGAGGAGCCAAUGGGGCGAAGCUACCAUCUGUGGGAUUAUGACUGAACGCUUCCAAGUCAUGAUCCCCCCUAAACCGUAACGAUACUGCAUCGCUGUCGUGCCUCGGUUGGGCUAGGAUAGCCGGCCUUUGGGCUGGUGCGUAGAGCCGCUCGCCUUGGGACUGCCCCCAUUUUUGGGCACCUGUCUCGUGCCUGGUUUCGAAAGUCCCCGAGCCCAGUGG
RNAcentral lists this ribosomal RNA (3125 nucleotides) under Ambystoma mexicanum (axolotl). Its description in RNAcentral is "eukaryotic LSU rRNA". It matches the Rfam family "Eukaryotic large subunit ribosomal RNA". Lineage: Eukaryota; Metazoa; Chordata; Amphibia; Caudata; Ambystomatidae. The record is from RNAcentral.